RNAcentral lists this transfer RNA (80 nucleotides) under Lachnospiraceae bacterium. Its description in RNAcentral is "tRNA-Leu". It matches the Rfam family "tRNA". From Rfam's summary of the family: Transfer RNA (tRNA) molecules are approximately 80 nucleotides in length. Their secondary structure includes four short double-helical elements and three loops (D, anti-codon, and T loops). Lineage: Bacteria; Bacillati; Bacillota; Clostridia; Lachnospirales; Lachnospiraceae. The record is from RNAcentral.
GCGGGCGUGGCGGAAUUGGCAGACGCGAUGGGUUUAGGUCCCAUUGGGUAACCGUGCGGGUUCGAGUCCCACCGCCCGUA